Molecule: RNA transcript, 796 nt
Organism: Hippopotamus amphibius kiboko
Lineage: Eukaryota; Metazoa; Chordata; Mammalia; Artiodactyla; Hippopotamidae
Gene: ACYP1
Gene name: acylphosphatase 1
Exons: 3
Source: RefSeq, a predicted model, not a curated record
GUAGAGAUGGUUCUCCUUCUUCUUUUCUAUUCUGAAUGCCUUUUAUUUCUUUUUCCCUGCCCCAACUAGAACUUCCAGUAUAAUAUUGAGUAGAAGUGGCAAGAGCAGAUAUCCUUAUCUUGUUCCUGAUCUUAGGCAGAAAGCUCUUAGUUUUCAACAUUAGGUAUGAUGUUAGCUGUGAGUUUUUCCCAGAUGCCUUUUAUCAGGUUGAGGAAGUGCCUUUCUGUUCCUAGCGUGUUGAGUGUUUUAUCAUAAAGAGAUGAUGGAUUUUUGUCCAGUGCCUUUUCUUCAUCUAUUGAGAUGAUCAUGUUUUGUUCAUUAAUGUGGUAUAUUACAUUGUUUUAUUUGUUAAUAUGAUAUUUUACUUAUUAAUAUGGUGUACAAGCAUACCUCAUUUUAUUGUACUUCACUUUAUUGUACUUCGAAGAUACUGCUUUUUUUUGUCUUUUUUCUUUUACAAGUUGAAGGCUUGCAGCAGCCCUGCAUCAAGCAAAUCCAUCAGUGCCAUUUUUCCAACGGCAUUUCCUUACUUUAUGCCUAUGUCACAUUUUGACAUAAUGCUAUUGCACAUAGCUCUUAUAUGCACUGAGAAACCAAAAAAUUUGUGUGACUCGCUUUAUUGCAGUGGUCUGGGAACUGCAACUGCAAUACCUCCAAGGCUGAGGGUAAAAAGCUCGGAUUAGUAGGCUGGGUCCAGAACACUGACCAGGGCACAGUGCAAGGACAAUUGCAAGGUCCCACCUCCAAAGUACGUCAUAUGCAGGAAUGGCUUGAGACAAAAGGAAGUCCCAAAUCG